This 279-nucleotide unclassified non-coding RNA is filed under the name plant metagenome. RNAcentral describes it as "partial contains small subunit ribosomal RNA, internal transcribed spacer 1, and 5.8S ribosomal RNA". The record is from RNAcentral.
UUUCCGUUGGUGAACCAGCGGAGGGAUCAUUACAGAGUUUUCAUUACUCCCAAUUUUUGCGAACAGUACCCACUCUGUUCUCGUUGAUUCCGGCGGGGUGGACGGGGGGGCCCGAAAAGGCCCCUAUGUUCUGUCCGCCGGGGGCGGAGGACUAUACGAACCAUUAUAUUUCAACAACCAGCAACCGUCAGCGAAAACAAACACAAUAACCAAAGUUUUCAACAACGGAUCUCUUGGCUCCGGCAUCGUUGACGAAAGCAGCACAUUGGAAGCGCAUAA